Molecule: small nuclear RNA, 109 nt
Filed under: Salmo salar (Atlantic salmon)
Lineage: Eukaryota; Metazoa; Chordata; Actinopteri; Salmoniformes; Salmonidae
Description: U1 spliceosomal RNA
Rfam family: U1 spliceosomal RNA
About the family: U1 is a small nuclear RNA (snRNA) component of the spliceosome (involved in pre-mRNA splicing). Its 5' end forms complementary base pairs with the 5' splice junction, thus defining the 5' donor site of an intron. There are significant differences in sequence and secondary structure between metazoan and yeast U1 snRNAs, the latter being much longer (568 nucleotides as compared to 164 nucleotides in human).
Source: Rfam by way of RNAcentral
AGGUUCAGCCAUGCACUCCGGCUGUGCUGACCCCUGCGAAUUUCCCAAAUGUGGAAAUCUCGAUUGCAUAAUUUCUGGUAGUGGGGGACUGCGUUCGCGCUCUCCCCUG